AUGCUCCUAUGUUGUGUUAAGUGUUGGCAGAUAUUCUGGACCCCGCCCUAGCGGUCCGGAGCUUGGACCCCGAACUUCCCCUCCCCAUACGAAGUCCGGGGUUUUUUUUAUCCCCCAA
The sequence is a small RNA, 118 nucleotides long. It matches the Rfam family "Pseudomon-1/ErsA RNA". Rfam says of the family: Functions to regulate the AlgC enzyme. Based on this information, the new name ErsA for the RNA was adopted.